GGAUGCCCAGUUACAUUUGAAUUUCAAAUAAACAAUAAAUAACUUUCUCAUAUAAGUAUGUCCCAUGGAAUAAUUUGGGACAUACCUAUACUAAAAAGCUGUUGUUUAUCAUGUAUUUUA
RNAcentral lists this microRNA precursor (120 nucleotides) under Dasypus novemcinctus (nine-banded armadillo). RNAcentral describes it as "miRNA (ENSDNOG00000046594.1)". Lineage: Eukaryota; Metazoa; Chordata; Mammalia; Cingulata; Dasypodidae. The record is from RNAcentral.